Molecule: ribosomal RNA, 395 nt
Filed under: uncultured bacterium
Lineage: Bacteria
Description: bacterial SSU rRNA
Rfam family: Bacterial small subunit ribosomal RNA
Source: RNAcentral
GUGCCAGCAGCCGCGGUAAGACGAACCGUCCAAACGUUAUUCGGUAUCACUGGGCUUAAAGAGUUCGUAGGCGGCUAAACAGGUGAGGUGUGAAAGCCCUCGGCUCAACCGAGGAACUGCGCUUCAAACCGUUUAGCUAGAGGAAGACAGAGGUGAGCGGAACUGAUGGUGGAGCGGUGAAAUGCGUUGAUAUCAUCAGGAACACCGGUGGCGAAAGCGGCUCACUGGGUCUUUUCUGACGCUGAGGAACGAAAGCUAGGGGAGCGAACGGGAUUAGAUACCCCGGUAGUCCUAGCCGUAAACGAUGAGCACUAGACUGUGGGGACCCUCACAUCCUCUCGGUCGUAGCGAAAGUGUUAAGUGCUCCGCCUGGGGAGUAUGGUCGCAAGGCUGAA